GGGGUUAUAGCUCAGUGGUACAGUGCUUGCCUAGCAUGCAAGAGACCAGGUGUUCAACCCCC
RNAcentral lists this transfer RNA (62 nucleotides) under Cavia porcellus (domestic guinea pig). It matches the Rfam family "tRNA", at positions 1 to 61 of the family's 71-position model. From Rfam's summary of the family: Transfer RNA (tRNA) molecules are approximately 80 nucleotides in length. Lineage: Eukaryota; Metazoa; Chordata; Mammalia; Rodentia; Caviidae. The record is from Rfam by way of RNAcentral.